GCCCAGCCGUAAACAAUUAACUCACACCAACUAACGCCAGGGAACUACGAGCCAUGCUUAAAACCCAAAGGACUUGACGGUGUCCCAUCCACCUAGAGGAGCCUGUUCUAUAAUCGAUGAUCCCCGCUAUACCUUACCCCUUUUUGCUUUCUCAGCCUGUAUACCUCCGUCGAAAGCCUACCAUAUGAACGUGUAUAGUAGGCUCAAUGAUUAUAUUUACAUCAAAACGUCAGGUCAAGGUGCAGCUCACGAAUGGUGAGAAAUGGGCUACAGUUUCUAAUAUAGAACAAACGGAAGGUUAUGUGUAACCAUAAUCAUGAAGGCGGAUUUAGUAGUAAGAAGAAAAUAGAGUGUUCUUCUUAACCCGGCUCUGGGACGCGUACACACCGCCCGUCACCCUCUUCAAUGACUUAAACUUAGAUUUAUAACCUCAUAUCUGCAUUUUUAGAAGAGGCAAGUAGUAACAUGGUAAGUGUACUGGAAAGUGCACUUGGCUAACAAAAUGUAGCUUAA
RNAcentral lists this ribosomal RNA (513 nucleotides) under Amolops hainanensis (Hainan sucker frog). RNAcentral's name for it is "partial 12S ribosomal RNA". It matches the Rfam family "Bacterial small subunit ribosomal RNA", at positions 794 to 1533 of the family's 1533-position model. The record is from RNAcentral. Lineage: Eukaryota; Metazoa; Chordata; Amphibia; Anura; Ranidae.